GGUCAAGCUACUAAGGGCGUGCGGUGGAUGCCCUGGCGCCAGCAGGCGAAGAAGGACGUGGCAAGCUGCGAAAAGCCUCGGGGAGUCGCAAGCAGACGUUGAUCCGAGGAUGUCCGAAUGGGGAAACCCGUCCGGUGUGAACACCGGACACAGCUCGCUGAAUACAUAGGCGAGCAUGAGCCAACCCGGGGAAGUGAACCAUCUCAGUACCCGGAGGGAAAAGAAAUCAACCGAGAUUCCGGGAGUAGCGGCGAGCGAAACCGGAUCAGCCUAAACCCCGGUUCUUUGAACCGGGGGGUUGUAGGGCCCGCAACAAGUAGGGUUACCAAUCCGGAGGCUAGGUGAAGGAGCUGGAAAGCUCCGCCAUAGAGCGUGAAAGUCGCGUAACCGAAAGCUUACCGGACCCGAAGCGGGUACCUGAGUACCACGGGACACGUGAAAUCCCGUGGGAAUCUGGGGAGACCACUCUCCAAGGCUAAACACUCGCUGGCGACCGAUAGUGAACCAGUACCGUGAGGGAAAGGUGAAAAGAACCCCUGCGAGGGGAGUGAAAUAGAACCUGAAACCGCAUGCCUACAAGCAGUCGGAGGGCUAUGCUCCGGUCUUCGGACCGGAGAAGGCCUGACGGCGUGCCUCUUGCUUAAUGAGCCGGCUAGUUAUUCUCCCAGGCGAGGCUAAGCGAAAGCGAGCCGUAGCGAAAGCGAGUCCGAAUAGGGCGACCAGUCUGUGGGAAUAGACGCGAAGCGGGACGAUCUACCCUUGGCCAGGUUGAAGGCCGCUUAACCGCGGCUGGAGGACCGAACCGGUGUUGGUUGAAAACAGCUCGGAUGAGCUGAGGGUAGGGGUGAAAGGCUAAUCAAGUUCCGUUAUUGCUCGUUCUCCCCGAAAUGCCUUUAGGGGCAGCCUUGUGUGAUCUGCCACGGUGGUAGAGCACUGAAUGGACUAGGGGGCAACCAAGCCUACCGAAUCCAAUCAAACUCCGAAUGCCGUGGACAGUAACACGGGAGUGAGACUACGAGGGAUAAGCCCC
RNAcentral lists this ribosomal RNA (1030 nucleotides) under Acidobacteriota bacterium. RNAcentral's name for it is "partial 23S ribosomal RNA". It matches the Rfam family "Bacterial large subunit ribosomal RNA", at positions 1 to 1006 of the family's 2925-position model. Lineage: Bacteria; Pseudomonadati; Acidobacteriota. The record is from RNAcentral.